This 326-nucleotide ribosomal RNA is filed under the name uncultured eukaryote. Its description in RNAcentral is "partial 18S ribosomal RNA". It matches the Rfam family "Eukaryotic small subunit ribosomal RNA", at positions 1470 to 1796 of the family's 1831-position model. The record is from RNAcentral.
CCCUUAGAUGUUCUGGGCCGCACGCGCACUACACUGAUGCAUUCAACAAGCCUAGCCUUGACCGAGAGGUCCGGGUAAUCUUUGAAACUGCAUCGUGAUGGGGCUAGAUUAUUGCAAUUAUUAAUCUUCAACGAGGAAUGCCUAGUAAGCGUGAUUCAUCAAAUCGCGUUGAUUACGUCCCUGCCCUUUGUACACACCGCCCGUCGCUCCUACCGAUUGAAUGUGUUGGUGAGGAGCUCGGAUUGGCAGCAGUUGGUGGUUCGCCACCGGCUAUUGCUGAGAAGUCCUCCAAACCGCCCCAUUUAGAGGAAGGAGAAGUCGUAACA